GGAUGAAGAACGCAGCGAAAUGCGAUAAGUAAUGUGAAUUGCAGAAUUCAGUGAAUCAUCGAAUCUUUGAACGCACAUUGCGCCCCCUGGUAUUCCGGGGGGCAUGUCCGUCCGAGCGUCAUUAUACCCUCAAGCCUCGGCUUGGUGUUGGGCCUGUCGUCCGUUGCGGCGAGCCUCAAACGCAGCGAUCGGCGUGCCUGGUGCCUCAAGCGAAGUAGUUAAUCAUGCGCUUUGGAGGUGCCGGUGCGUCUGAGCACCCUCUAACCUUUUGGUUGACCUCGGAUCGGGCAGGGAUACCCGCUGAACUUAAGCAUAUCAAUAAGCGGAGGA
Molecule: unclassified non-coding RNA, 330 nt
Filed under: soil metagenome
Description: partial contains 5.8S ribosomal RNA, internal transcribed spacer 2, and large subunit ribosomal RNA
Rfam family: 5.8S ribosomal RNA (bases 2-121)
Source: RNAcentral